CCAAUAUAUACGGAGGAGGGAAAUGGUUCUGUGCAUGCGGCGGCUGCGGGGAUCUCUCUGUAUUUAGGACCCUGCCCGCGGAUCACCAAGCCCCUUUCCCAUCUGCAGAGAUCUCACCAGGGCAUCUGCCCAUUCGCAGGGAUCUGAAAUGGCAGGACUCACCCGGGCAUCCACCGAGGAAGCUGCGAGCCAUCCACCGGACUCUGAUCGGGAGGUACUUUCCAAAUUAUCAUCUCCCUUAUCGGCAGGCCACAUCUCAGGGAUCAGAUGUCAUGAUAUCUGUGGGGAUCUCUCAUGGAUUCUGGAUCCUCUUUGGAGAGCAAGAACUUGGAGCUUAAAGGUGCAGUGGAUACCACGUACAGGUGUGAUGCCCAGGACCUUCCACUCUCCGACUGAUUUAGAGCCUUUGAGGAAGAACACUGGGGAGUCCAGACGACUGUUGGAUUUCGUCGCUGGCAAGGAGGCCUUCUGGGAUGAUGGACACCAGGAAUGCAGGAUGGCAGGAAUGGUGGUGACAGGCCUCCUUUUCCUCAGUCUCACUGUG
This 544-nucleotide long non-coding RNA is filed under the name Gopherus agassizii (Agassiz's desert tortoise). RNAcentral describes it as "lncRNA (ENSGAGG00000009194.1)". Lineage: Eukaryota; Metazoa; Chordata; Testudines; Testudinidae. The record is from RNAcentral.